GACGAACGCUGGCGGCGUGCCUAAUACAUGCAAGUCGAACGAACCGCGACUAGGUGCUUGCACUUGGUCAAGGUGAGUGGCGAACGGGUGAGUAACACGUGGGUAACCUACCUCAUAGUGGGGGAUAACAGUCGGAAACGACUGCUAAUACCGCAUAGGACAUAGGAUCACAUGAUUCUGUGAGGAAAGGUGGCGCAAGCUAUCGCUAAGAGAUGGACCCGCGAUGCAUUAGCUAGUUGGUAGGGUAAAGGCCUACCAAGGCGAUGAUGCAUAGCCGACCUGAGAGGGUGAUCGGCCACAUUGGGACUGAGACACGGCCCAAACUCCUACGGGAGGCAGCAGUAGGGAAUCUUCCGCAAUGGACGCAAGUCUGACGGAGCAACGCCGCGUGAGUGAAGAAGGUCUUCGGAUCGUAAAGCUCUGUUGUUAGAGAAGAACAGCGCAUAGAGUAACUGUUAUGCGUGUGACGGUAUCUAACCAGAAAGCCACGGCUAACUACGUG
RNAcentral lists this ribosomal RNA (502 nucleotides) under uncultured bacterium. Its description in RNAcentral is "partial 16S ribosomal RNA". It matches the Rfam family "Bacterial small subunit ribosomal RNA", at positions 28 to 507 of the family's 1533-position model. The record is from RNAcentral.